Molecule: non-coding RNA, 5534 nt
Organism: Peromyscus maniculatus bairdii (prairie deer mouse)
Lineage: Eukaryota; Metazoa; Chordata; Mammalia; Rodentia; Cricetidae
Source: RefSeq, a predicted model, not a curated record
UCUAGCUGUGUGCCUCCCUCCACAUCCCCUUCGUGAACACACAUUCAGAUGCCCAUUAAAGUGGAGCUGACAGACACUAGCCAGGGUCUCAGUGUGUGGUCCAGGCUGGCCUUAAAUGCACAGCCUUCCUGCUUCUGUCUCCUGAGUUCAGGGAUUACAGAUGUGCUCCACGAUGGUGUGCUCUGUGCCUCUUGAAUUCCUGAGGCUACACAGCUGACUGGUAGUUAGGGAAUUCCAAGCCGGAAAGGGAAGAAGAGAAGCACACAGGAAGGAGAGGGUGGAGAAGGAGGGAGUGGGGAGAGCUAGAGACAGACAAGCAGAAGAAUGUGAAAGUUAAGAGCUGAGUGCUUCUGCUGCGAGCUGUUGCUACGUGGGAGCGCCCUUCAGACUGGCUGGUUGAAACGCCCAUCAGUUUUGCCUCGCGUUAGGCAGUGACCCUGGCAAGUCAUUUCGUCUUGUGAGUUUCCACUUACUCUCCUGUAAGACUGAGAAUGGUUUCCUGAAGAACUUUUUGUCAAGGAUUGAAUGAGAGGACAUAGAAAAUGAUCUCCUUCCUACAGCUCUUCUGACUGAAGCACUGAAACCAGGAGCCAGAAAGCAACUGGGACGUUAAAAGGAGGAUUUGGGAAAGUGGCUGCUGGGAAGGGAUUCACAGACGGCAGCUUUGUUAAUCAGGCCCUAAGUACAUGCCUACCAAGAUCUUUGAGAUGACCUUCCAGGUUGACCACUAGGUGGCACGCACACAGGACUGUUCUGUACAACCUCCAAAGACAGAAAGCGGAAGUGGCUGGUACCGAGUGCUUAGAAUCCCAGCGCUUGGGAGACUGAGAUGAUGGCAAACCGUGAAGCUAAACACAAGGGAGGAAGCCAGCCUCCUCCUUCAAGCGGUGGCACACCACAAAGGGCCGCUGUCCGUCCAAACGUGACCCCACCAGGUUCAUGGUAGCUGCUCAGCCCCUCUGACACUCUAAGUCCUUCAGCGAGCAAGAAGCUGAACCCACUACAACAAUCUCCUAAUUAGCUCACAGCGUGUUGUAUCAGUCUCCAGGCAACUUGAUGGACCUGUUGUGGAUGCAACUUGAAAAUGAAAACAUUGUUCCCACCAAGGCUCUUCUACCAAUACCAGACAGCUUUGCCUUCCAGAGCCUUCUGGAAGCAGCCAACUAUUCCCAAGACCUAGAAGGUUCUGCCACAGAUGGCCACUUAAUAGAAAUUUCUAUGAAAUACUGGCAAAGUAUUUUGUAAGGUAUAAUGGGAGAAAGGGGGUCAAUAUUCAUAGGAAAAGGAAUAGAAAAGCUAACUAGCAAAAACUUUUAUCCUUUUUUUCUUUUUUAAAUACUUUUGGAAAAGUUAAUAUUGUGGAUGACAUCCUUUGGGCACACACCCCCCCAGCACCCUUCAUACCUUCUACCCCUCCCUUCCUCCCUCCCUCGCUCCUCCUUUUUAUGGAAGAACAUGUUGAUAUAAGACAACCCAUUUGUGUACCAACGAUGGCAGCCCGGGCUGGAAUUCCAGCUCUGCUGCUUAGGGGAAAGAUCUCAGAGUUACUGAAUCUUGGGACUCUUUCUGUUGGGUUUGUUUUGCUCUGCUUUAUUUAGAGACAAUGUCUUCUUGAUAUAUGGACUGGAACUUAAAUGUAGCCCAGGCUGGCUCAAGCUCAUGAUUCUCCUGCCUCAGCCUCCUGAGCACUAGAAUUGCAGCCAUGAGCCACAAUGUGCAGCCUGCUCUUUGUUGUUUUGUUUUGGUCCCGCUAAGGAUUGAGUCCUUACCAAUGGUGAUGUAGCUGGAGAGAGACACACUGGCAGAUGGGUAAAGAAAACCUGCAGAAGUUCAUCUGCUGGGGCGUCUUUGAGUCAGAGACAGGAUAGUAGUGGUGUCCCAGCUUUUCCGCUUCUAUAAAGAACACCUUCAGGAGUAUUUGCUUGCUUGUUUGUUUAUUGAGAUAAAACCUUGCUAGGUAGCACAAGCUGGCCUAGAAUGUUCAGCAACUCUCAUUCAUCAGCCUCCUAAGUGCUGGGAUUACAAGCUUGAGACACCAGCCCUGCCCCCAACCCAACUUGUAGCCACUGACCUCUGGCUUCUGUAGGAGCGUGUUGCAUCAUCCGAUGGCUCACUGACUAAGCUGGAAUUGAAAAUUAGUUGGGCGUCAUUUUCUUUAGUUUCACAAAGUUAGCAUGAGGAUCGGACUUCCUUGUCAAAUGUGAGGUCUUUCUCUGCAAGGUUAGUGAGUACCUUUCCAGAUACUCAGGCUUCCCUCCCCCGGGUUUCCUUUCUCUCCUUUGUGGUCUGGUCUGUACUGAAGAUUCCAGAACACAGACCUCACUGCUCCUUGCUCUACUACUCAACGUUUAGUUACAAUGUGAUCAGCCUACAGCUGCCUGAGCCUGAUGGGGCUUAGAAAGUCCCCGGUAACUUGAUUUGAGAUGCAGCAGUUUUUUCUGGUUGGCAGGUCUGAAUCCAUGAAGUGUUAGAAAUUUAGACUGAGUGAACAAGCUAUAAAACAGCAAAGUGUUACACAUUCAUUUCAUGGUUUCUGGACCUUUCCUCAGUUAAGAUGAAAAGAGAGAAGGGCCAAUAUUCAAACCCUAGUAACCUGGCCUCUAAUCUUCUUUCUGUAAUCAAGUAUAUAAUCUUUGUGCUUUGUGUCUGAGUUGAGUUUUAGAAUUUUCCAGAAUGAGUCUGAAUUCGGUUCUACAGAUAAACUGCUUCCAGUAGCAAUUCUUUCUACAUUAUAAUAGAACCAUGGUUUCUCUGUGGGAGUAAAUUAGUCUUCCGGGACCCCCAGCACAGACCAGAAAGGCCUCCUCCCAAGCCCCACCCCCACACUGACCCCCAGUUUAAUAACAUGGCCAAGGGGUGGGGCAGAGGCCAAGUCUCAGGGUUUCCUGGAGGCCCAAGGCCUUGCUGAGGCUGCCCACAAGCAUCUCUCUUCCUGCCACCAAGGCUGCCAUGGUUUCACAGAUCCACAGCUGACUCUGCUGCACACACUAAUUUGUUUUUCCCGAAUUCAGCUUGUCAAAAUAUUCUAGGGUCAGGAUCCUCGCUAUUUCCAAGCUAACCUCUCCCCUUUGUAUUUUCCAGGGAUCAUUUUGAGAAAGUAACUCAUUUGGCUAGUUUCAAACCAGCUGACUCAAUGGAAUUACAGCUGUGUGCAUGUGCAUGUGAGUUCGAGUGUAAGAGUGUGUGUGUGUGUGUGUGUGUGUGUGUGUGUGUGUGUGUUCUCACAUGUGCUAUGGCAUGCAUGUGGAAGUCAGAGGAGACUGUUCUCUGUCUCUACCAUGUAGCACUCACGGAUCCACUCAGGUCCUCUUGUUUGGUGGCAAGUGUCCUUACCUGCUGAGCUCUCCCUCUGGCCCCAUGAGGAUUCUAGAGUCUGGCUUUUUUCAUCUAUCAUAAAGCAUUUGAGAUUCAUUCAUAUUCCUGCUGGUGUCAGAAGUUCAUCCCUUCUAUUGCUAGGUGAGUUCCUCAGAAUAAAUAUAGCAUAGUUUGGAUAACCAUUGACCAGAUUUGGGAACAUCUGAGUUAUUUCCAGCUUAGGCUAAUCAUAAAUCGAGCUAUCAUAAACAUUCUUAUACAAUUUUUAUUUCACUUGGGUGACCAUUUAGAUGGGUAGCGGCUGAUUGCCUGUUAAACAAAAGCAUCGCUUUAUAGAAACGGUGUGACUGACUUUGGAGGUCCCCUCCCUGAGCCGUGGAUGAAAGCUCCCUCAUCCUCACCAGAAACUGCCACUGUCUGGUUGUUUGGGUUGCUGACCGUGUGUCCCUUCUGUGAGUUGUGUGUCCCUUCUGUGAGUUGUGUGUCAUUCAGAGCACACACAGUCAGAAGUUUCCUUGCAGACUUUUCCCUUCACAGAAAUCUCCAGAAAGCAGGAUAAAGAGUCUAGAAGGUGAUAUUAAUGUUGUCGUUAGAACCACAAGGUCUGUUAGAUAAACUGUUGCUUCCUGGUGUAGGCCCCUGUGAGAUGAUGCCCUCAGCACCUGCCUUUCUGCUGCCUAUUUAUUGCCAGCAUCCCUGGUUCACUGUCAAGGUCACUUACCAGAAGCAGGGACUACUGACUGCAGUGACUAGGAAAUUUUAUUGUAAAGAUUACUGCAAAAGGAAAAAAAAAAGUCACACACUGAAAUUAACCAGACUCAAAGACUAUACACGUUAAAGGAGUCUCAGUAAAAGUCCAGUACUGAUGACGUAGCAGGAGCUAGAGGCCUUGAACCAGACCAACUGACUGGUUGCAAUGACUGUUUGCAUGUAAAGCCGUUUGCAAAAGGGUACGCUGUGUGACACACGGCAGCUUCCAAUGCCACUACAACAACCCAAUUCGUGAUGGAGAGGCAGGAAAGACAGAGGAGCGGAGCAGUGCAUGCCCAGUGGAACAGCUGUGAUGGGAAGGCUGCCGUUGUGGAGGAACCCAGUAGGGUCGGCAGGGUGGUGUGCAGCAGCCUGGAGCUUACUCGGACCAAACAAGCUGCCUAGCCCCAUGGUUGCCCUGGGUCUGAACAGCAACAGGGUGUCUAAGAUGAAGAAUAGUCCAUUUCCUGGCCUGGACUUCCUCGAAAGACCUCCAUGGUCCGAGCUUCUCCUGGAGGCUGGUCCGUGGCUGGUGCUUCGUCAAAGGGCAGUGUUGAUGCCUGCAGGCUGUACUACCUCGGAGCCGUGAUCCUUAGUGCCUGCAGAUGCUGGAGACCAAUGGAUGUACAUGGUCUUUGCUGUUGCCAGAACCAUGUGGAAGCCCAGGGUCUGUGCUUCUGCCUCCUGUGAAGGGCAAGGAAGCUCCUCUUGCAAAGUUGUAGAUGACUGCAGACACACAGCUGAGAAAGAGGAACGUAAAAGCGUCUGUGACAACCCCCACCCCACUCCACCCAAAAAGGUGACAACCUAGAGAGGAAGCCACGAAGGAGAACGAAACAAAGAAUGGUGAUGUGGAUGCUGAGGUGCGGCUCUCCGCAGCUGGCGGCUCCUGGCAGGGCCGAAAGCGGAGAAAGGAAUUUGACCAUGCUCCAGUGGAUAUAUGGACAGCCCAAAAUGCACUUGGUUUUUCUUUCUUCUUUUUCUUUCCCUUUCUUUUUUUGGGGAGGGGUGUCACAAGGGAGAGGGGUGGAGGACACUGGAAGACUGGGAGGGGAGCACAGGUGGGUGCAUGAUGUGAGAUUCCCAUAGAAUCAAUCAAAAUGUUACGCUAAAAAUACUUUUAUGCACUUAUCUACCACCAAAACCAAAACCAAACAAAAUCUAUGACAGAGUUAGAACUAGAAAAACAAUCAGGCUUAUAUCCUCUUUCAUGACUCACGUCCAUUACCUGCAUUUAGUCCUUCCUUAUCCCGUAAUUUUCAGUCUUGUUCUCUUUCUGUGUGUCGUACCUAUAUGUACAUUUGUCAACAUGUAUAUGAAGAUUGUUGGCUACACUCUGCAUAUGAAGAAUAUAUGGGCUUUUUCUUUCAGAGACUGUGACCUCAAAUAAUAUUAUCACUUUAUUUUCAUUAAUUAAUUAAUUAAAUUCUUUUUCCUGAGACACAGUUUCUCUGUGUAGCCCUAGGUGU